This 246-nucleotide ribosomal RNA is filed under the name uncultured bacterium. Its description in RNAcentral is "partial small subunit ribosomal RNA". It matches the Rfam family "Bacterial small subunit ribosomal RNA", at positions 26 to 285 of the family's 1533-position model. The record is from RNAcentral.
AGAAUCAACGCUGGCGGCGUGCCUAACACAUGCAAGUCGAACGAGAAAGUGGGAGCAAUCCCACGAGUAAAGUGGCGCACGGGUGAGUAACACGUGACUAACCUACCCUUGAGUGGGGGAUAACCUAGGGAAACCUGGGCUAAUACCGCAUAAUACCUACGGGUCAAAGGAGCAAUUCGCUUAAGGAGGGGUCGCGGCAGAUUAGUUAGUUGGCGGGGUAAUGGCCCACCAAGACAGUGAUCUGUA